CCCUUAGAUGUUCUGGGCCGCACGCGUGCUACACUGAGUGGAUCAGCGGGUCAGGUUGCGCGAAAGCGUUUCCUAAUCUUUAAAUCCGCUCGUGAUGGGGAUUGACGGUUGCAAUUUUCUGUCAUGAACGAGGAAUACCUUGUAAGCGCGGGUCAUCGUCCCGCGCUGAAUACGUCCCUGCCCUUUGUACACACCGCCCGUCGCUCCUACCGAUUGAGUGGUCCGGUGAGGCUUUGGGAUCUGAGCGGAAAGAGCGUUUCGCUGUUUCUGCCCGGAAAACUCAGUCGAACCUUAUCAUUUAGAGGAAGGAGAAGUCGUAACA
Molecule: ribosomal RNA, 322 nt
Filed under: uncultured eukaryote
Lineage: Eukaryota
Description: partial 18S ribosomal RNA
Rfam family: Eukaryotic small subunit ribosomal RNA
Source: RNAcentral